UAAGCUGACAGGGUUCCCCUUUGGGGCAAAGCAAGGAGCAAUGAUUUCAGACUUGCCCCACCCAGACGUACCACAGGAUAAUGCCGUGCCUUUCUGAGCUUGGGUCAUCCAGACUGCUGGCCUCCAGAAAACAAAGCCAGAGGUAGGUAGGGGACAGCUGUACUGCACAGAGUUCCCAGAACCAGGGGAUUUCUAGAGCUCUCCAGGCUGAGAAGUCACAGUCUACACACAGAACGUACUGUGAAAGUGUGCUUUCAUCAUCUGGAGAAGGAGAUGGGGAGACUUGUGAAGGAGAAGUGAUCUGUUGCAGAAAGCACAAGAUAUUUCUAAAAACAACAGCAAAUUCACCUUCCUCG
RNAcentral lists this long non-coding RNA (356 nucleotides) under Delphinapterus leucas (beluga whale). RNAcentral describes it as "lncRNA (ENSDLEG00000001402.1)". Lineage: Eukaryota; Metazoa; Chordata; Mammalia; Artiodactyla; Monodontidae. The record is from RNAcentral.